This is a non-coding RNA of Ixodes scapularis (black-legged tick), 79 nucleotides long. The record is from Rfam. NCBI's taxonomy places the organism in Eukaryota, Metazoa, Arthropoda, Arachnida, Ixodida, Ixodidae.
UUCUGGUUAUCUCAGUUGGUAGAGAGCUCCACUUUAAAUGGAGAGAAAGGGGUUCCUGGUUCGAUACUAGGACAAGGCG